Molecule: ribosomal RNA, 497 nt
Filed under: uncultured bacterium
Lineage: Bacteria
Description: partial 16S ribosomal RNA
Rfam family: Bacterial small subunit ribosomal RNA
Source: RNAcentral
GAUGAACGCUGGCGGCGUGCCUAAUACAUGCAAGUCGAGCGAACAGACGAGGAGCUUGCUCCUCUGACGUUAGCGGCGAACGGGUGAGUAACACGUGGAUAACCUACCUAUAAGACUGGGCUAACUUCGGGAAACCGGAGCUAAUACCGGAUAAUAUAUUGAACCGCAUGGUUCAAUAGUGGAAGACGGUUUUGCUGUCACUUAUAGAUGGAUCCGCGCCGCAUUAGCUAGUUGGUAAGGUAACGGCUUACCAAGGCGACGAUGGGUAGCCGACCUGGGAGGGUGAUCGGCCACACUGGAACUGAGACACGGUCCAGACUCCUACGGGAGGCAGCAGUAGGGAAUCUUCCGCAAUGGGCGAAAGCCUGACGGAGCAACGCCGCGUGAGUGAGGAAGGUCUUCGGAUCGUAAAACUCUGUUAUUAGGGAAGAACAAAUGUGUAAGUAACUAUGCACGUCUUGACGGUACCUAAACAGAAAGCCACGGCUAACUACGUG